Molecule: ribosomal RNA, 433 nt
Filed under: uncultured bacterium
Lineage: Bacteria
Description: partial 16S ribosomal RNA
Rfam family: Bacterial small subunit ribosomal RNA
Source: RNAcentral
AGCGAACGCUGGCGGCAGGCCUAACACAUGCAAGUCGAACGAACUCUUCGGAGUUAGUGGCGGACGGGUGAGUAACACGUGGGAACGUGCCUUUUGGUUCGGAAUAACUCAGGGAAACUUGUGCUAAUACCGAAUGUGCCCUUCGGGGGAAAGAUUUAUCGCCAUUAGAGCGGCCCGCGUCUGAUUAGCUAGUUGGUGAGGUAACGGCUCACCAAGGCGACGAUCAGUAGCUGGUCUGAGAGGAUGACCAGCCACACUGGGACUGAGACACGGCCCAGACUCCUACGGGAGGCAGCAGUGGGGAAUCUUGCGAAAUGGGCGAAAGCCUGAAGCAGCCAUGCCGCGUGAAUGAUGAAGGUCUUAGGAUUGUAAAAUUCUUUCACCGGGGACGAUAAUGACGGUACCAGGAGAAGAAGCCCCGGCUAACUUCGUG